RNAcentral lists this ribosomal RNA (496 nucleotides) under uncultured bacterium. RNAcentral's name for it is "partial 16S ribosomal RNA". It matches the Rfam family "Bacterial small subunit ribosomal RNA", at positions 30 to 523 of the family's 1533-position model. The record is from RNAcentral.
AUUGAACGCUGGCGGAAUGCUUUACACAUGCAAGUCGAACGGUAGAGGGGGCAACCCCUCGAGAGUGGCGAACGGGUGAGUAAUAUAUCGGAACGUGCCCAGUCGUGGGGGAUAACGUAGCGAAAGUUACGCUAAUACCGCAUACGAUCUAAGGAUGAAAGCGGGGGAUCGCAAGACCUCGCGCGAUUGGAGCGGCCGAUAUCAGAUUAGGUAGUUGGUGGGGUAAAGGCUCACCAAGCCAACGAUCUGUAGCUGGUCUGAGAGGACGACCAGCCACACUGGAACUGAGACACGGUCCAGACUCCUACGGGAGGCAGCAGUGGGGAAUUUUGGACAAUGGACGCAAGUCUGAUCCAGCCAUUCCGCGUGCAGGAUGAAGGCCCUCGGGUUGUAAACUGCUUUUGUACGGAACGAAAAGGUUUGGCCUAAUACGCUGAACUCAUGACGGUACCGUAAGAAUAAGCACCGGCUAACUACGUGCCAGCCGCCGCCGUAA